Molecule: long non-coding RNA, 377 nt
Organism: Eucalyptus grandis
Lineage: Eukaryota; Viridiplantae; Streptophyta; Magnoliopsida; Myrtales; Myrtaceae
Exons: 3
Source: RefSeq, a predicted model, not a curated record
AUGUCACAUAAUUCGACCUAAUUGGGGAAUCAUAUUCCGUGGAGGGCUCUUCCAUUUUUUUUUGCUAAGAUAGAGGUCUUGAUCCUGCUUUCCUUCUGAUGGAAUUCAACAUUGACUCUGGCUAGUUAAAGGUUGUGAAGAAGUCAUUUCUACUUUACGCAGUGGUUCAGCUGCAGAGAAAGCGCUCACCAUCAUGCGAGAUAAAGGUUGCUUCAAGACUUCUCCACCAUGAGUAUCAGUUGCUGCAUGACCAGCCUGCAAGAUACCAUACCCCUGGACGGAUUGCCCAAACUCACUAUCUUGAUGUCCCGGUGGAUGGGCCAACUACCAGUGUGUCAUCUAUUGAUGGAAGUGAGAAGCUGCCUAGUGUUGAUGGU